This is a non-coding RNA of Prunus avium (sweet cherry), 983 nucleotides long. Lineage: Eukaryota; Viridiplantae; Streptophyta; Magnoliopsida; Rosales; Rosaceae. The record is from RefSeq and is a predicted model, not a curated record.
UGGACAGGACAAAGAAGGGUUUCCCAGGCAGACCUCUAAAAAAAUCACAGAGAGAGAGAGAGAGAGAGAGAGAGGCAUUGGAGAGAAAGAAAAACUUGGAGAUUAUAAAACAUAUGAUCAUCUUCUUGUAAACAGGAUCUGUAAGCUGCCCACUUGGAGAGUUUUGAAUUAAUUAUAUUUUAUAGGAGAUUAAGAGAGUUAAUUAAGAAUUAAUGGCAAGGAUUAACAGAGGGCAUUGAGAGAAGAGAGAAGAGUCCGUGGCAGUGGCUAUAGACAAGGACAAAGGAAGUGAAAAUGCCAUCAAAUGGGCUGUUGAUCAUCUUCUCACAAGAGGCCAACCUCUCACGUUGCUGCAUGUUAAGCACACAUCGUCUUCUGAAGGAGCCGACAGCCAAGGUGGUGGUUCUCAAGCCCAAAGCCUGUUUCUUUCGUACCGUUCCUUUUGCUCCAAAAAGAAUAUUCAAACUCACAGACGUUCCAAGCACAGUGUCAUUGUCAAAGGGGGCACCAGAUUUUUGCUCUGUUUACGUGAUUGGCAAGGGAAAGGUUUGACUUUUUAAAAAUGGCAAAUAUGAUAAACCUUAUUGGCCUUGUCGACUCUGCACAAUUUAGCGCUCAAUCUGGAUCGCUAACUCAAAGAUCACGGCAUCUAGCAAACCAACUGAAAAAGGCAGAUGGGGAUUAUCAAAUUUUUUUGGUGCCUUAUAAUCCAGGGGGUCAUUGGGUGUUGAUAAUUGUGAGACCACAAAAGGAGACCGUAUAUUAUAUGGAUUCAUUACCAUAGCGCACGGUUGACUAGGAAUGCAAAAAUAUAGGGACUAUUGCAAUCAAAAUGUAUAACGCACACGCAAGCAAACAUUCUCGCAAAUCAGCCAUUUGGAAAACUCUACAAGGCACUCCAAAGCAACCAACCAAUGUAGAGUGUAGCUACUACGUGAUGCGUUUUAUGAGAGAUAUAAUCAGGGAUCCUACCCUAGAAUUUG